UACGUAGGUGACGAGCGUUAUCCGGAAUUACUGGGCGUAAAGCGCACGCAAGCGGUCUAACAAGUCUGGCGUGAAAUCCUCUGGCUUAACCAGGGGCGGUCGCUGGAGACUGUUAAACUUGAGGCGAUGAGAGGGGUGCAGAAUUCCCGGUGUAGUGGUGGAAUGCGUAGAUAUCGGGGGGAAUACCAGUGGCGAAGGCGAGUCCCUGGACACUUCCUGACACUGAGGCACGAAAGCUAGGGGAGCAAACAGG
Molecule: ribosomal RNA, 253 nt
Filed under: uncultured bacterium
Lineage: Bacteria
Description: partial 16S ribosomal RNA
Rfam family: Bacterial small subunit ribosomal RNA
Source: RNAcentral